AUUCUCCUUCUUGUUGAUGUGAACCGAGAGCCGCUGCCACAGGUGUUGCCCCCGGCUGCUCUUUUCGUUCUGGGCCCAUGUCACCGAUUUUCCAUUGGAGCUGCGGAGAGAAGAGAGUGGAGAAGAGUCCUUCUUAUAAGUUUGUUUUAGGCCUGCAAGUUGAAUAAUCAUUUCGUCAGAGGAAAGCGUGGUGUUUUGCCUUGAGCACCUAGCACUGCGAUCUACAGUUGCGUCUUGGACCGCCAAAAUGGUACAUUUUACUUGGAUUUUCAACAGUUGUUCUUCGCCCCUUCUGUGUAGGACACUUACAUAAUUCAUUCAUUGCAACAGGCUCUGAGUGCCAGGAUGGAAAAGACAUUGCCAGCAGCAUUCGCCAAAGGAAGCCACAUUCCCACAAUGGAUGAAGGACAUCCAGGCUUCAGUGAGUGAUGGAACAUAAUGAAAUGUCGCGAGAGUGAAAGACGUUGCUCUUCCCUCAAAGAAGCACAAUCCAAAUUUCAGAAACCCACGCAGAAUGUUCAAGAGAUAGCCAAUAGUCUUGUUUGACCAUGUGGGGAUGGAGUAGCAGUCAAAGCUUCAAAAGGCAGAAUUUGGAACAUUUUAUCUGCUGUAAGAGUUCGGUGUAUCUAAUGCUGUAUAUUUGAUCUUCUUUUUCUAGGUUGUUUGACCUUAGGCACCAUUAUCUACUUCUUGAACCUUCUCCACUGCUUCACUCAAUGGUGGUGUUUCAAAUAUAGCACCACCUCCAUACAGAGUGAUCUUAAAACCUCAUUUUUUUUUUAAAAAAAAGUUAAUUGGCCCUUAGAGAUUGAAGAGCAGAGAAGUGACUCAAGUAAAACAGUGUUAAGAGGUAGUGUUGAUAUUAUAGGAUUGCUGUGCCAUGAUGCUAAGGUAUAAACGAGUGUGAAAAGAGUGAAAAUGGAAUGGAAUGUACUGGCAGGAAAACUAGGGGGGAAAGCACAUUUGCUUUUCCUAUUGGGUUUUUCUUCUUAACAUAAGAAGAUUUCAUUAAAAAAAAGUUGCUACUGAAACAAUAAAUGUUUCCAGGAAUGAUUUUCAAGUAAAGUGAGCAUUAAUGUAUUCUAAAGACUAGGAACUUUAAGUAACAUGGAUAAACAAAAUCCACCAAGGUGCCUAUUGCUUAUUUGACA
Alexandromys fortis (reed vole) is the source of this 1151-nucleotide long non-coding RNA. RefSeq lists it as uncharacterized. NCBI's taxonomy places the organism in Eukaryota, Metazoa, Chordata, Mammalia, Rodentia, Cricetidae. The record is from RefSeq and is a predicted model, not a curated record. The transcript is spliced from 4 exons.